CGUGGCAGCGCUGCCUUCAGCAGCAGUGUGGGCUGAAGCUGGAAAAAAAAAAAAACCGCUCAUUUAGAAACAAUAACAUUUUUCAAAGCAAUAACAUUUUCGCAUGACACAAGAGCAGCUGGAAGCAGCAGUGCGUCUGAUCCCACCCGUGUUUUCCAGCCCCUGCUCUGGAGUGAGGCACAGCAGGUAACCGCAGACCUGCCCUGUGGAAUAAUUUCACUGUGAGUGGCUGUGCCUUCCCUGGGGUUUGUGGAACGCUUCAUCUGCCAGAAAAAAAAAGAAGCUGGAAGCUUUGUUUGGUUUCACAAAUUUUAAAUACACAGAGGAGGCACGGAAGAGCUGUUCAGUAUCUUCUCCCACGACCCCGUUUCUCCAGGGUUCUACUCCCUAUACGCAGUCACAAAUGUUCACUAAUAAGAGACAAGUGAAAAACAGCUCUGUUAAGUGUAUCUCCCCAGAUAAUGGCUGUAUGGGAAUAUCCAAAAUGUGCUUAAACUCCCAUACACUCAGGGAUGCACUGUUUGAGGGCUGCUUCUUCCAAGCCAGUGAAGGAAAUCUCCCCAGUUUGCCCACUGAAGUUACUGCCACUGCUUGUCCUGGUGACAAGCAGUGGUGACUCCAUUGAAGUGCUGCCUGCAUCACCAAUUUUGCACGGUGUGGGCAUGGGAGGAGGCUGGAAGGUUGCUGCUAUGGGGAUAUAUUGAAACAGAAGUUCCCAUAAGUGCAAAAUACAGUCCUUUCUUCACAGCUUGAGACAGAAGGUCAGCUACAGCUGGCACAGGCUGUGCAUGGUAAAUAACAAAGUACACUGAAGAUGUUGAACUGUAUCAAAUUCCUGGUUUUUUUGAACUGUGUUGUUCCAGGUCAUUGCAGUUUAACUCUUAGGGUGCUGCUGCCUUUCCAGCCACAAGCCCAGCUACUCUUGAGGAGGUUGAAAACAGUCUUGGAGCCUGCUAAUAACUUUAAUGAGCUGCUCAGGAAGACAACAGGGAUUUGUGCAAUAGGUCACUGUUUCCAGUCCAUGACAGGUCAUGCCACAACCAGCUAAUGGCUGCUAAGUGGUCUGUGUGAAAUUAGUUUAGUGGGUCUCCAGCCAGAAGCCAGUUGACAGAUGCCCAAAAAUCAGUUCUCCAGUUGGCUUCCUCAUUGGCAGUCAUGGCAGGUUGGUCAAGGCCAUGCAAAUUCAGCAUUUCCCCGGGGCCAGGAACAGAGACAAGCUGGCUUCUGUUUUUCCUGCUGCUGAGAGAAAUGACUGAGUAGAGAGAGCCUGCAGAAUUGAAUUGUUGCCACAUGCAUACCAAAACCCUUGUAAUUUUAAAAUACAGGUAAAAGCUGGAUGGUGGUGCAGCAUUAUUGUGCUGAGUAGCACAGGCCAGCUCAGUGUCCAGCAGCCACAGCAGUGUGUUCAGAAGCCACUGAAGUGUGACAGCCAGCAGAAAAGAAAAAUAAUAGCAGUAUGGAGAUUUUACACUCCAGAUUCAGGACUGUCUUGAAACGUGCUGGCACGAGACCUUGAUACAGGCUGAACUCCAAGGCACAGCUGAUGCAGUGUUCACAUUUUCUGGGAGAUGAGCUGCUCUCACGGCCAGGUGCCAUCCCCAGUGCUGUGACAACACAAACUCAUUGCUCAUCUCUGCUGCUUGAGCAGCAAGUCACAGCCACAGUUGUUCACGGCUGGUCUUUAAACUGUCAAGGAGAAAGCAAGGCUUCCUUAGAUGGGCCUGAAAGUCCCUGAACAAUCUCUGCAGGAUGGAUUUUGCCACUUCAUUUCACCUCGUCCAAUCCCAGUGUUUGUUCUGGCGGUCAAGCUCAAGAUCCUGCAUGCAAUUUUAAACAUCUGCAGAAGUGAAACACAAGCCUUGCAAGCUGAAGAGGUGUUGAAGAUCUCUAAAUCUGGAAGCAGCACACAAUUGUAAAAUUCGCCCCUGAAACCUCUGCUGAUCCAGCCAGACUUUGCAGCAAUAGUGUAGGAAAUGGGUUGGCUAAUUCAAAGAGGUUCAUGAAUUUUCAAUGAAAUCCACCUAAAAUCUUCCUGGGUAUUGUGAUAAACUCAGCACAGUAAAGUUCACUUUCAGUCUCCAGAAAAAUUGGACUCACAAAUGCUGAGAUGCCAUAAUAGCUUGAUCUUACAGUGUUUUUUAGCACCUAUUUGAACAUUCCCCGUGAAUCUCACUCAAAAGUCUGC
Molecule: long non-coding RNA, 2185 nt
Organism: Passer domesticus (house sparrow)
Lineage: Eukaryota; Metazoa; Chordata; Aves; Passeriformes; Passeridae
Exons: 8
Source: RefSeq, a predicted model, not a curated record